AGUGAACGCUGGCGGUAGGCCUAACACAUGCAAGUCGAACGGCAGCACAGUAAGAGCUUGCUCUUACGGGUGGCGAGUGGCGGACGGGUGAGGUAUACAUCGGAAUCUACUUUUUCGUGGGGGAUAACGUAGGGAAACUUACGCUAAUACCGCAUACGACCUACGGGUGAAAGCAGGGGAUCUUCGGACCUUGCGUGAUUGAAUGAGCCGAUGUCGGAUUAGCUAGUUGGCGGGGUAAAGGCCCACCAAGGCGACGAUCCGUAGCUGGUCUGAGAGGAUGAUGAGCCACACUGGAACUGAGACACGGUCCAGACUCCUACGGGAGGCAGCAGUGGGGAAUAUUGGACAAUGGGCGCAAGCCUGAUCCAGCCAUACCGCGUGGGUGAAGAAGGCCUUCGGGUUGUAAAGCCCUUUUGUUGGGAAAGAACAGCAGCAGGUUAAUACCCCGCUGUUCUGACGGUACCCAAAGAAUAAGCACCGGCUAACUUCGUG
RNAcentral lists this ribosomal RNA (492 nucleotides) under uncultured bacterium. RNAcentral's name for it is "partial 16S ribosomal RNA". It matches the Rfam family "Bacterial small subunit ribosomal RNA", at positions 29 to 507 of the family's 1533-position model. The record is from RNAcentral.